AGACACUGUUCGAGUCAGUCAGCCAUCCGUAUCAAGAUGCUGCCGACGAGUUGGACGAGCAAUAGCUCGACUAGCUCGCCGUUACGUACGGUUUCCUGACAGGGAAGAGUGCAAAACUCUAAAAUCCAGAUUUCAGUCCAUUGCUGGAUUUCCAAAUGUAAUCGGACUGAUUGAUGGAACUCAUGUUCGCAUUCAAAGGCCAAAGAACCACGAAGCCGAUUUCAUAAAUAGGAAAGGCUACCAUUGUUUGAACGUGCAAAUGGUAUGUGACCACAGCAAAAAAGUGAGGAGCUUAACAGCUAAAUGGCCAGGAAGCACACAUGAUGCGAGAAUAUGGAGAGAGUGUCAUCUACGGAAC
Molecule: long non-coding RNA, 358 nt
Organism: Dreissena polymorpha
Lineage: Eukaryota; Metazoa; Mollusca; Bivalvia; Myida; Dreissenidae
Exons: 3
Source: RefSeq, a predicted model, not a curated record